RNAcentral lists this long non-coding RNA (1216 nucleotides) under Apteryx owenii (little spotted kiwi). RNAcentral describes it as "lncRNA (ENSAOWG00000008362.1)". The record is from RNAcentral. Lineage: Eukaryota; Metazoa; Chordata; Aves; Apterygiformes; Apterygidae.
AUGCCGGGCCAUUGCCUCCUCCUCCUCCCUCCCCAUUGGUGGAGGACGGCGCCGCUGCCACAGAGAGCGAGCCAUCCCGCGGCCAGAGAGGACGCGCCGGGAGGACCGCCCGCCUCGUCUCGCCUCCUCCCGCGUUGUCAUGGCGCCCGCGGGAUGCCGGAAGCGCCGGCCGCGGCUGCCCAGGCCAACGGCCGCCUCGGGCCCCGCCGCCAUCUUCCACCCUUCAUCGCCUCCAGCUGCCCUUCGGCUACAGCCCCCCAAGAACCUGCCUCUCAGCUGAUAGCUUCUCUUUUUCCUAGGAUGGGUGUACCUGAAACACCUAAACCCAGCAGCAGAGACAACCCUUGUCUCACUGCGUCCAUGACCAGAGGACACCAACUGCGGGGCCCGGGACACGAUCCCGUCACCCAGCGCCAUCUGCAGAGCCUGGGACACAAUCCCAUCACCCAGCACCAUCCGCAGAGCCCGGGACACGAUCCCGUCACCCAGCGCCAUCUGCAGAGCCUGGGACACGAUCCCAUCACCCAGCACCAACCACAGAGCCCUGGACACAGCACCGCUGAAAAAUUGCUUGAGCUACUGAGCAGGCCUGACUGUUGUUGUAGCCGGUGGACAAUUUCACUUCUCUUCCAUCACAUAAACAAUUCAGCAUGCCUAAGGGCAGCCUGCUAUGAGUUCCCAGGAACUUUUAGUGUUCCACCAACAAUCAAUAUGCUUCUACAUCAUUCAUUCAGAUGACAGAGAAAGGAGGAUGCUUAAUCCGCCAGGCAGAGAUGUACCUGUGAAAUUCCCAGGAGGAAACAUUUGAGCAAAGUCUUGAAGCUGCAGACUGAGAUGGGAACCGACUAAGGCACAGAUCAAGUAAACUGGUGGAUGAGGGCGCUAAGAGGGUCGGCUGAGGAACAGACUAAAUCACCCAUAGUAUACAGGUUAACCUAGAUGCAUUGACCUGUUAAAAUUUUUUUAUACACCUGUUUUAUGAGGAAUAUAUAUUCAUAAUGUCUGUCACUAUACUCAUACAGAGAACCUGUUUGCAGCUCAAAGCAGUGAAAUGGCAUCCAGCAUAUGAACGGCAAAUUGUUCCUUCUUUAGAAAAUAGCGAAGAGUUUCUGGCUACAUGUUAUCAUUAUGGUUUUAAUGCAUUCUCUGUCUCAUGUUUUCUUACGUAUAGUAAUAGUUGAUCGAAUAAAUAAUUGAGUUUUGAAAGAGUUGAGCA